GACGAACGCUGGCGGCGUGCUUAACACAUGCAAGUCGAACGGAAAGGCCCUGCUUUUGUGGGGUGCUCGAGUGGCGAACGGGUGAGUAACACGUGAGUAACCUGCCCUUGACUUUGGGAUAACUUCAGGAAACUGGGGCUAAUACCGGAUAGGAGCUCCUGCUGCAUGGUGGGGGUUGGAAAGUUUCGGCGGUUGGGGAUGGACUCGCGGCUUAUCAGCUUGUUGGUGGGGUAGUGGCUUACCAAGGCUUUGACGGGUAGCCGGCCUGAGAGGGUGACCGGCCCCAUUGGGACUGAGAUACGGCCCAGACUCCUACGGGAGGCAGCAGUGGGGAAUAUUGCACAAUGGGCGGAAGCCUGAUGCAGCAACGCCGCGUGCGGGAUGACGGCCUUCGGGUUGUAAACCGCUUGCGCCUGUGACGAAGCGUGAGUGACGGUAAUGGGUAAAGAGGCACCGGCUAACUACGUG
Molecule: ribosomal RNA, 468 nt
Filed under: uncultured bacterium
Lineage: Bacteria
Description: partial 16S ribosomal RNA
Rfam family: Bacterial small subunit ribosomal RNA
Source: RNAcentral